GUCCUAUGCUCAGAAGGCCCCAUGCUUGGGGCUUCAAGUUCUGCAGUUGCCACCCUGAAGUUCUUAAUCAUUUCUCUUUGAAUUUGUUUUCACGAGUAACAUCUGAUGGAACAAUGGAGCACUCCCCAGGGGCGUGGAGCCUCAGCCCUCAUGUGUUACUGCCUCCUGCUGCCUCCCUGGGAUGGUUUCUCAGCUGCUCGCUCCCCAAACGCUGGCACCCCAGAACCCAUGACCUCGUCUACCCUCUGUCUGGGAGGAAAUGGGUUGAGUCAGCCAGGAAGACACACCUCCCACUGCUCCACAUAAAGGGCUCAAUGUCUGGUUCAGUGGUUAAAAGCUGUUCACAGGGAUGACUGGACCCCACUAAGCAUUCUUUCAUCUGUAGUGAACGUUUCACCAAAAAAAAGCUCUUGGAAAGGCUGGAUGGUCAGUAUUACAUGCUCAAGCCAUGGCCGUGCCCUCCAUCUUCCACCUGAUUGAGAAGGGGGGGCUGAAGUCCGUGGCUGCCCCAGGAGAAAGGACACCAGGAAGGCCACCGGGGACCUAAGGAACAUGCGAGUGAAGCAGAUGGGAAAGGAGCUGCAGGUUCAUCGUUGUCCUUGAGGGAAAACCUGAGGGCCUAGCAGGGCUCCCGCAAGUUGAAGCGAGCCACUGUGCAGGGUGAACCUGCACCCAGGGCUACCCAGGAAGCCGCCAGUCAGGAGCAGGUGCAGAGUCUCUGGAAGGAACUCCAGGAUACAGUGUGGCCUCCACAGCAUCAGGCAGCCAGGGAGAUGCAAACGUGUCUGCUAUGGAUGCUGACAAUGAGACCCCCCUCUUCCCUGCCAGGGUCUCUUAGUUUGGUGGCAGCAGUGGGAUCCAAAGGAGACAUCUGAUGGCUUAGGGGAUGAGAAACACAGGCAUUGGUACCUGCAAAACCUUUGAGUUCUCCAUCUUUGUCACUGAUUCUGAGAGCCGUGGAGUCAGCUCCAGAGUUUCAGCCAGCAGCAGAAGCAGAGCUGUGGUCAGUGGUGGAGGUAGAGCUGGCUCUAGCUCCAUUGACACCACACCCUCUAGCACUGGAGCCAGUGUCCCCUCUACCAGCAGUGUUGGAGGUGGAGCAAGGGCCAACAUGGGCUCCAGCAGGAGUGGGAGCUGCUGAGUUGGAGUCACCUGGACCAUCAUUUCUAGUGGGAAGUCCAUCUCCACCUGUGGCUAAGAAGUGUGAGAAGAAACCCAACCUACGGCCUUCCCUCCUAAGCUGGUGGUGGAGCAGUUGAUCGUGAUGGAUGCAGGAGACAGACAAGGCCCGUGGUUGUAGCUGCCAAGGGAGAAUGUGCAUCAGAAUGGGGAGUGUGACCAGAGGGGGAUCAGUGUGUUGGAAGAUGCCCCCUUGGGAUGAGCCGAGGUGAGCCACCAUCUGGAGCUUGGAGUUAGCCAGGACGGGCUGGAUGCAAAUGUCCCUCUCCCUUCCCUGCCAGUAUUGGGUCCUGGGUCAUCCUCUGGGUACCCUCAGUGGACAGAGAAGAAAAGCCAGGGACUCUCACAAGGCUCAGGCCACAUCAUGAGCUUCCUGAGCUCCAGCUCUAAACUGUGACCCCUGUGUGGGACUUUUGUGGAUGUGGACACAGAGCUGGGGUGU
Molecule: long non-coding RNA, 1621 nt
Organism: Diceros bicornis minor
Lineage: Eukaryota; Metazoa; Chordata; Mammalia; Perissodactyla; Rhinocerotidae
Exons: 5
Source: RefSeq, a predicted model, not a curated record